This is a long non-coding RNA of Homo sapiens (human), 551 nucleotides long. Ensembl annotates it as HERC2 pseudogene 3. Its record names the gene HERC2P3. The record is from Ensembl. NCBI's taxonomy places the organism in Eukaryota, Metazoa, Chordata, Mammalia, Primates, Hominidae.
AGAACAUUCGAAAUGUUUUGGUGGAUGCCAGUGCCAAAUUUAAAGAGCUUGAAAUGUCAGUGGGUGCCAAUGCUCACUAGGUAUCCAGCCGGUUCCCCUGCAAACCAUCACCAAUGAGAACCCAUCGGGACCGAGCUUGGGGACCAUCCCGCAAGCCCACUUCCUCCUGGUGAUGCUCAGCAUGCUCACCCUGCAGCACAGCGCAAACAACCUUGACCUCCUGCUCAAUUCCGGCACGCUGGCCCUCGCUCAGACGGCACUGCGCCUGAUUGGCCCCAGUUGUGACAGCGUUGAGGAAGAUAUGAAUGCUUCUGCUCAAGGUGCUUCUGCCACAGUUUUGGAAGAAACAAGGAAGGAAACGGCUCCUGUGCAGCUCCCUGUUUCAGGGCCAGAACUGGCUGCCAUGAUGAAGAUUGGAACAAGGGUCAUGAGAGGAUAGGCCUCCUCCAGGCCUAGGCCGAGUGAUUGGUGAGCUGGGAGAGGACGGGUGGAUAAGAGUCCAGUGGGACACAGGCAGCACCAACUCCUACAGGAUGGGGAAAGAAGGAAAU